Protopterus annectens (West African lungfish) is the source of this 138-nucleotide small nuclear RNA. RefSeq annotates it as U4 spliceosomal RNA. NCBI's taxonomy places the organism in Eukaryota, Metazoa, Chordata, Ceratodontiformes, Protopteridae. The transcript has a single exon. The record is from RefSeq and is a predicted model, not a curated record.
AGCUUUGCACAUUGGUAAUAUCAUAGCCAAUGAAGGUUUACUGAAGUGUGAUUACUGCUAUUUGAAAACUUUACCCGAUAUAUAUAUAUAUAUAUAUAUAUAUAUAUAUAUAUAUAUAUAUAGAUUAUAUAUAUGUAU